This 260-nucleotide long non-coding RNA is filed under the name Phoenix dactylifera (date palm). RNAcentral describes it as "long non-coding RNA (PDAC_LNC009827)". Lineage: Eukaryota; Viridiplantae; Streptophyta; Magnoliopsida; Arecales; Arecaceae. The record is from RNAcentral.
CCGCCUGCGCGGGGCACGUGACCAUCAGGCCCACAUGAGGGGGCCUUUCCAGAUGUUGUCCGGUUCCGAGGUCCGUACGCGCGCGCAUGCACCGCACUUAAACUCUCACUGAUUUUGCUUCUCCCCAAAAUGCAUCUGCAGGAUUUGGAAACACCCAUCUCAUAUGCCCAGGCUCUAGAACAAGCUUCAUGAUCAUGCUUCAAAUAUCAGUUUCAUGCAAUAUAUCAUAACCAUAACCCAUACCCAAUCAUAUAUCCAUG